AUGAUGAGAUUUCUCAAUAAAGCAAAGUUGGUGGAGUUGGCCAAGUUUAAUGACUUCAAACUGCUGGGGACAGGGAUGGUGAUCAAGGUUCAACCAUGGUCCCUUGAUCAUCAAGUUGUUGGGAAGAUGCACACCAUUUGGGUCAGGCUGGCCAAGGUUCCAGAUUGUUUUAGGCAUUUUUUGGGUGUUUGUGAGGUGGCUAUUGCAGUUGGACCUGUCCUGGAAAUUGAUAUGGAUACUAUAAAUGAGGAGAAAAUUAGAGCAAAGUGUGGGAUCAGAGAUGUGGAGAAAAUACCAACUCAAGUGGAAAUCACUUCCCCUGAUCUUCUUAUGUUUAGAAUUGGGAUGGAAACUGAGAAGGUGGUGGGGAUUGGCUGGUAUAAGGAAGAAAAGAGGAAAAAUGAUAGCAGCAAUUUCUCAGAAGGGGGAGAGGAUGAGAUUGACAAUAGGAAGAGGACUAGAAUGGAGGAGAAUGAACAUAGAGGGGUUUCUCUGGGAUGCUUAUCCCUGAAACAAAGUGAGGAGGUGGAUAAAAGAAUUGAAGGAAUGAAAACUCAAAUGGAUGUGACCAUGUUGCAGUGGCAAAAGGAGAUGGCUUUGGAGAGAGGAAAAUGGCAAAAAGAAAGUGAAAUCAUGUUCAGCAAGAUCAAAACCUUGGAGGAAGACAAGAUUAGAAACAAUGCACUAUGGGCUAAAAAUGAAAACAGAAUCAGGGAACUAGAAAAGGUUCAGGCAGAGUUGCGGGAGAUUAGUAAAAAACAACUUGAAGAAAUUCAGAAACUGACACAAGAGGCUGCCAAUAGAGAGGAGUAUGAAAUGGAGUUAGCUAAUAUGGACCUUGAAGAUUAUGAGAAAGAGACUCAACAGAAAAAGGAAGAUACUGAGUCUGGGAAAUAUAAUGAGCCCACUGAUUAUAAUGCUAGCCAAGAAUCUAUUGGGACUCUGGGGGAGAAAAUGGCUAAAAUACAUGGAAGUGAGAUCCUGGAUAAAGAAGGGGAGGAGAAAGAUGUUGAAAUCAAGAGAAGCCUGAGAAACAAAGGAAGAGAAGACAAGAAGAUUGAGGAUAUGGCUAAAAGCAGAGCUGAGGAGAGGGACAAUUAUGGAAACAGCUGGAAUCACAUGGGGGCAACAAUGUAG
This 1137-nucleotide ribosomal RNA is filed under the name Triticum aestivum (bread wheat). RNAcentral describes it as "partial small subunit ribosomal RNA". Lineage: Eukaryota; Viridiplantae; Streptophyta; Magnoliopsida; Poales; Poaceae. The record is from RNAcentral.